AGUGAACGCUGGCGGUAGGCCUAACACAUGCAAGUCGAACGGCAGCACAGUAAGAGCUUGCUCUUACGGGUGGCGAGUGGCGGACGGGUGAGGAAUACAUCGGAAUCUACUUUUUCGUGGGGGAUAACGUAGGGAAACUUACGCUAAUACCGCAUACGACCUACGGGUGAAAGCAGGGGAUCUUCGCACCUUGCGCGAUUGAAUUAGCCGAUGUCGGAUUAGCUAGUUGGCGGGGUAAAGGCCCACCAAGGCGACGAUCCGUAGCUGGUCUGAGAGGAUGAUCAGCCACACUGGAACUGAGACACGGUCCAGACUCCUACGGGAGGCAGCAGUGGGGAAUAUUGGACAAUGGGCGCAAGCCUGAUCCAGCCAUACCGCGUGAGUGAAGAAGGCCUUCGGGUUGUAAAGCCCUGUUGUUGGGAAAGAAAAGCAGCAGGUGAAUACCCCGCUGUUCUGACGGUACCCAAAGAAUAAGCACCGGCUAACUUCGUG
RNAcentral lists this ribosomal RNA (492 nucleotides) under uncultured bacterium. RNAcentral describes it as "partial 16S ribosomal RNA". It matches the Rfam family "Bacterial small subunit ribosomal RNA", at positions 29 to 507 of the family's 1533-position model. The record is from RNAcentral.